This 400-nucleotide ribosomal RNA is filed under the name uncultured bacterium. Its description in RNAcentral is "bacterial SSU rRNA". It matches the Rfam family "Bacterial small subunit ribosomal RNA", at positions 355 to 747 of the family's 1533-position model. The record is from RNAcentral.
UGGGGAAUUUUGGACAAUGGGGGCAACCCUGAUCCAGCAAUGCCGCGUGCGGGAAGAAGGCCUUCGGGUUGUAAACCGCUUUUGUUGGGGACGAAACGGCGACGGCUAAUACCUGUUGCUAAUGACGGUACCCAAAGAAUAAGCACCGGCUAACUACGUGCCAGCAGCCGCGGUAAUACGUAGGGUGCAAGCGUUAAUCGGAAUUACUGGGCGUAAAGCGUGCGCAGGCUGUUGAGUAAGACAGAUGUGAAAUCCCUGGGCUUAACCUAGGAACUGCAUUUGUGACUGCUCAGCUAGAGUGCGGCAGAGGGGGAUGGAAUUCCGCGUGUAGCAGUGAAAUGCGUAGAUAUGCGGAGGAACACCGAUGGCGAAGGCAAUCCCCUGGGCCUGCACUGACGCU